CCGGGAUCGUGGUAUCACCAAGGACGGUUAAAAUUAAAAAUGAAAAUCGAUAUAGAAAGUGCUUUAACCGUCCUUGGUGAUAUUGCGAUCCCGGACUGUGCACGGGAGUUGUUCACGUUGGGACCGUCCUGCGCUGUUUGCAGGGGACUUGCACCUUCGGACGAUGUCCCUAUAGUUGAAGACAUUGUGGCCAAUACAUGUGAUGGUGGGUUGGAUGGGCGUGGGGCGCGGUGGAGCUGUGUUCGCGAGAGAGUUGGUGCCAAUGGAGGCGCAGCGGGGCCGGCCGGAGGCCGUGGGACAGAGGGGCUGGUAGCGAGAGCAACACGAUG
RNAcentral lists this long non-coding RNA (329 nucleotides) under Androctonus crassicauda. Lineage: Eukaryota; Metazoa; Arthropoda; Arachnida; Scorpiones; Buthidae. The record is from RNAcentral.